ACUACCUUAGGAUUGAGGAUGCGAUUAAUGGAAGGCAUCCAUAACAAAAUUUGCUGUUUAUUGAGAUAUACUCUCAAUAAAUAGCAAAAACAAAGAUUCUGGAUGUCUGGGAAAUGGAAAGGAAUUCGGACAAGGAACGGGAGGUAGAAGGGAUGCUGAGAAGGAUUAAGUGAGCGUUUGGAUAGUUGUGGGGAAAAACCCACGAUUUAGGCCGGGCAAACUAUUGUCCUACCAUUCAGUUGAGUUAUUUUUCCAUACCUUGGGAAGGUCAAUGACCCUAACAAUAACCAGCGUAGGUUGCCGACCUACCUCAACGAUUUUUGCCGAAACUCCUAUCUGCUGGAGCGUCCGGUGUACCAAAGUUAAGGAUCCUGGGAGGUACACUUCUAGAUAUGUGGAUCGGAGGUGCUCGUCAGAGAUUGGCGAGAAAAAACCCGAGCUAGUACCUAUGUCCUCUAUUAAGCCUAAAGUGCAUACAAAAAAACUAUCUACCUAUAUUUAAUUGGGAGUACCUACUAAUUUAAAUGUAUUUUGUUUUUCAGGAAUCCUGCUAUGCAACGAAUCAACACUUAUCAUUAAUGUCCCCCAUCUCUAUCCGCCACCACUACGAAUUUCUACGUUACAUCAUACAAGUGAUUGUUGGUGAGUGAUCUUUUUUAAAACCUUAUUUUGGAUUGGUUAGAUUAUAGUUAAACAUAAAAAUUAAUAAAUUAAUAAAUAAGUUAAUAAAUAAAUAAAUAGCAGAUAAAUUAGUUAAAUCAGUAACUUUUGUAAAUAUCACAGUUCGUAGUUUUCAAUCAUUGCGGAUAGUAUUUAAGUUAGUAAAAUUAGUAAAUUAAGUAUCACAAGUUUUAAAAGAUAAGUUACUUAAGCUAAAAUAAAAAAGAAAAUAUAAAUAUCACAGAUGAAAAAAAAAUUAAAGCUAUCAGUCUUAAUAUGAUUAAUAAAGUUAGUUAAAAGUAUCACAGAUGGAAUGGUCAAACCAUUUUAUCACAGAUAAAGAACAAUUUUAGAAGCUAUUAGCAUAAGUAAAAUUAAUAAAGUAAGUAAAAAUAUCACAGAUGGGGUGGUUGAACCAUUUUAUCACAGAUAAAGAAAAAUUUAAAAGCUAUUAGUCUUAGUAAAAUUAAUAAAAUAAGUAAAAAUUUCACAGAUGGGAUGGUUGAACCAUUUUAUCACAAAUGUUUAAUAAAUUAAGUUAAAAUACUAAUAAAUAAAUAAAUAAGAACAUUUAACAUUAAGUAACAUUUAGAACAUAAGGCAUGCAAUGAAUAUAAUAGAUACAUAUAUACUUAAAAUAUCCGUGUUUGUUUAACAGUUCCAGGUACUUUUGGUUUUUGUUAUUGGUUGUUUCGGUUUUUUUCUUUUUCGAACUGUUGCUAAAUAAAUAUAAUAAGUUAUACUCACGGAUAAUUUAAUACAUUAACAAAUAACAAACAGAAACGAUACGAAUUAGCAACAAUGAUAAUUACGGCUUGUAUUUAAAACAAACGAACGUGUUUUUGAAGCAUUCUGCUCAUUGUUUUAAAUCUUUGGCGUGAUAUAUUCCAAGUCUUUUACCGGUUAAGUUUUCUAACUCAUACAUUUGAUUUCCUAUUCGUUUAACUACGCGGCAUUUAAUAUACUUGGGUGAGAGUUUCGCUGAUAAACCUUUCGACGAAUCGCUCAUCACAAAAUUUUUCCGAUACACCUCUUGUCCGGGUGAAAAUUGAACGUUUUUAGUACGGACAUUAUAAAUUUUUGAGGAUUUAUCGUUGGCUUUAAUUAUGUUUUCGCGAAUAUGAUUUCGUAUACACUGCAAUCGACCUUGUCGGGGAAGAGUUAACAGCUCGCUGUCGUCCUGCGCAUGCAACUUCUUUGCAAGUUCAUAACUGCUACCGUGCGUCAUCAUGUUAGUGCCGAAUAAUUCAUAAUACGGUGACACGCCGGUAGAGCUAUGAACCGCGCUUCUUAACGCACACGCGAUGUCGCUAAGGUGCGUAUCCCAAUACCUUUGAUCGUCUUUUAGGUACGAUCGAAUAGCAGUCAACAAGGAGCGGUUCACCCUCUCCGACGCAUUCGAUUGAGGUGCAUAGUGAGCGGU
Molecule: long non-coding RNA, 2083 nt
Organism: Eupeodes corollae
Lineage: Eukaryota; Metazoa; Arthropoda; Insecta; Diptera; Syrphidae
Exons: 4
Source: RefSeq, a predicted model, not a curated record